RNAcentral lists this long non-coding RNA (754 nucleotides) under Anas platyrhynchos platyrhynchos (common mallard). RNAcentral describes it as "lncRNA (ENSAPLG00000022205.1)". The record is from RNAcentral. Lineage: Eukaryota; Metazoa; Chordata; Aves; Anseriformes; Anatidae.
AUGCGAACCAUCUCUGCGAAUGUUUGGGAGCGCUGUGUGCACGGGCACCAUUUUUGCUGUGUUUGGGGCCAGUCUGGGGGUCUGCAUACGAGGAGGUGCAAGGUUCUCAUUUACAGGGAAAACCCAGAGGAGGAGGAGACGCCGCAGCAAGAAGUGCGUGGGGUCACAGCACAUAUGGACAGAAGAAAAAAGAAUGUUUCAUCCCCUCCUAAUAGGCUUGAAAGUGGAUUUUUGCUGCUUGGAAGGAAAGGCAAGCUUUGGUGGUGCUUUCCGUGGCACGUGUGGAUGGAGGCAAGUUCAUCACAACAGCCUCAAGAACCCCAAGCAGCAGCAAACAUCACGCUAAAAGUUAUCCACGUUUUACCCCUCCUGAGCCCAGCAGCUAUGGCUUGUGGAGCUCAUCACAUCAGGGCUGAGGUCUGGCCAGAUGCAUCCUCAGGGCAUUGCCUGGUUUUUGUGAUGCUGAGACCAGAAAUCUCUCAGGCAGGGGGCUUCAGGCAACCAGGCUGAGGAAAAGGGGAGCUCGAGAGAAGGCCAAAGCCCUCCAGGUGACAUGCUGGAGAAAUUCGGUGUUUACUGGAAAAGAAUUGCUGCUUGAUGAGCAGAGCAUAAAGGAGGGCAGGAGGGUGGCGGCAUAUUCAUACGUUAUAAGGUGAUUAUCUGCUCUCACGUCCCGUGUAAAAUGUGCCUGGGGACUUUUUUCUAUUUGAACUGAAGCUUUAGGUCUCGCGGAAUAAAAUGCCUCUUCAAAUCA